AGACCUGGGGGGCCAGAGAGAAAAAGUAAGUGCUCUGGGAAAGAGGGCUCCUGCACCUUCAUAUCUCCUUGCCCAAUUAAGAACAGGCAGUGCCUCUCUGUCAGCCCAAGUCUCUCGUCCAACAGCCCAAAUCUACAUUUAUACACUGUUGAUGUUCAACAAGGGGCUCCUUGUACUAAGCUAGCAAGGCUGGCUAUUGAUUUGAAACCAAACUUUUAAUUUACUGUGUUAACACAGAAAAAUGUCAAUGCCAAAUCUCAGAGUUGGAGAAUUAGAAGAUAGUGACCCCAAGACAAAGAAAAACAGAUUCAUGUUAGUCCUCAAGAGACAUGUAAAUAAGAAAUAAUCUUUCUCCAAUCCAGACUGGCAAAGAUAAAAAAAAGUGUGUGUGUGUGUAUAUAUAUAUAUAUACAUAUAUAUAUAUAUUUAGACAUUAUCUAUGUCUGUAGACAUGUCUAUUGAUGUGUACUUCCUAGCUGUGUCCACUAAGCAACACCUUUGUAGCAAUAAGCUCACGCCAGCACCUAAGCCCCAGCUUCUAAAUCAAUGCUCCACUAAAGGGAAUGGGAGAAGCUGCCAUUGUAGCUCAGUGGUAGAGCGCCUGCCUAGCAUGUGUGAGGCACUGGGUUUGAUCCUCAGUAGCACAUAAAAAAUAAAGGUAUUGUGUUCAUCUACAACUGAAAAAAAAAAAAAAAUCUUUUUUUUUUUUUUUUUUUUAAUUUAAAGGGAAUGAGAACUCCCCAGAGAAAGAGUUAAUUCCAGGUUGGGGCAGGGAAGGUACAAGAAGAGAUCAGGAUGCUUGUGCUGGGAAGUUAGGGAAAUGCCCACAGCAUGGUGAGGAUAGGUGAAAAGCCAGCACGAGGGGCCCCACUGAUCAAAUCUGGGACAAUUUAAACAUUGAAAUAGUUAUAUUAAUGUAUUAUAACCCAUUGAAUAAAACAGGAAUCCAUGAGUCCAUACUGAAAAACAUAUAAAUGGGAUGGAGAAUGAGAGAAUUAAAAAACUGCUGUCACAUCCUCCGAGAAGAGGAACCUGGACUCCUAAGAGAAAUGGUUGAUUCUUAGGCUGGAGCUGGGAAGAUCAAGGAAUGAAGUCCUGAUGUUCCAGUGUGGAUGAACCUGGAGAUUAUGCUAAGUGAAAGAAACCAGUCACAAAAGACCUUCUGUUGUAGAGUCCAUUCAUGUGAAAUGUCCAGAAUAGGCAAUGCACAGGCAGGAAAUAGACUAGUGGAUGUCAGAGGCUGAGGGGAGGGGAAAUGGUAAGUGAUGAAGGCUGCACAACUCUGUAAAUAUACUAAAGACCAUGGAACUCGACACUUUGAGAGGGUGAUUUUUAUGGUGUGUGAAUACCUCAAAAAAGCUGAAUUUAAAAAAAAGGAUGAGAACAUGUCAAAAGGAUACAGGAUUCAGCAUGAAAGAGUUCCCAAUGACCAAAACUGGAACAAUUUUAAGCAAAAAAAAGUAGUAUUGGCUUAUAACCCAAAGUAUAAAAUAUACAUGAGUCCAUAGUGAUAUAAAUAAAUGAUUGAAUAAGUAAAUAAAUGGGGAAAAGAGACAAAUUCAGACUUAGCAACUGAUUUCCAUAGAACAAAGGGAAAAGUAACAACUUGCAAAGACAGCUGGCGAACACCACCUUUGGCAGCUUCACCAAGGGACAAGGGCUAACAUCACAGGGGGUGUCCUGUACCCCUGUUGUAACGUGCUGAAAAGGGUACUUUGCCUCUGGUAUUCAUUACAAAACCCCAGAACUUCAGUCUAAUAAUCAUAAAAACAGACAAAUUUAGACAGGGGACUUUCUACAGGGUACUUGGCCAGUGCCCCUGUCAAGAUCAUGAAAAACAAAGACAGAAACAAUCACUGACAGAGGGCCUGGGGAGUUGGAGGCCAGCCUGGGAAACUUGGUGAGACCCUGUCUCAAAAUGAAAAUAACAUAAAGGGCUGGGGAUGUAGCUCAGUAGACAGUGCCCCUGGGUUCAGGACCUCGUGCCAAAAGUAAUAAUGAUGACAAAGAUGUUGUUAUAGCUAAAGUAUAUGAUUAUUUCUUCAGGAAGAUCUGAUUUAAGUCCUGCCUCCAACAGUCUGAAGAUGAAGAAAAGGUGACUGAGACUGCCGAGGAUGUGCAUACCACACCUGAGCAGGGUCUCACCAGAUUGCCUAGACUGGCCUCAAACUUAUGAUCUUCCUGUCUCAGCCUCCCAAGUAUCUGUGAUUACAGAUAAGCAGUACUUGGUCCAAGACCUGAAGAGAGCUUGUUUGUCAUACAGAAAUGGCCACUUCCUGCCCACCCAAAUGCUAUUGAUUCCAACACCCAGAUCAAAUCAGGAGAUGACCUACCUCUCCUUCAAAAGCAAGCUGAGGGGUAAUCAGAGGAGAAAAGGGAGGCAGGGCAGAGGGUGUAUGGUACCUGAGUAGGUGUUGA
Molecule: long non-coding RNA, 2418 nt
Organism: Marmota monax (woodchuck)
Lineage: Eukaryota; Metazoa; Chordata; Mammalia; Rodentia; Sciuridae
Exons: 3
Source: RefSeq, a predicted model, not a curated record